RNAcentral lists this ribosomal RNA (253 nucleotides) under uncultured bacterium. Its description in RNAcentral is "partial 16S ribosomal RNA". It matches the Rfam family "Bacterial small subunit ribosomal RNA", at positions 524 to 776 of the family's 1533-position model. The record is from RNAcentral.
UACGUAGGGUGCAAGCGUUGUCCGGAAUUAUUGGGCGUAAAGAGCUCGUAGGCGGUCUGUUGCGUCGGCUGUGAAAACUCGGGGCUCAACCCCGAGCCUGCAGUCGAUACGGGCAGACUAGAGUGCUGUAGGGGAGACUGGAAUUCCUGGUGUAGCGGUGAAAUGCGCAGAUAUCAGGGGGAACACCGGUGGCGAAGGCGGGUCUCUGGGCAGUAACUGACGCUGAGGAGCGAAAGCGUGGGGAGCAAACAGG